RNAcentral lists this ribosomal RNA (500 nucleotides) under uncultured bacterium. RNAcentral describes it as "partial 16S ribosomal RNA". It matches the Rfam family "Bacterial small subunit ribosomal RNA", at positions 30 to 523 of the family's 1533-position model. The record is from RNAcentral.
AUUGAACGCUGGCGGCAUGCCUUACACAUGCAAGUCGAACGGCAGCACGGGAGCAAUCCUGGUGGCGAGUGGCGAACGGGUGAGUAAAGUAUCGGAACGUGCCCAGUCGUGGGGGAUAACGUAGCGAAAGUUACGCUAAUACCGCAUACGAUCUAUGGAUGAAAGCGGGGGAUCGCAAGACCUCGCGCGAUUGGAGCGGCCGAUAUCAGAUUAGGUAGUUGGUGGGGUAAAGGCCCACCAAGCCGACGAUCUGUAGCUGGUCUGAGAGGACGACCAGCCACACUGGGACUGAGACACGGCCCAGACUCCUACGGGAGGCAGCAGUGGGGAAUUUUGGACAAUGGGCGAAAGCCUGAUCCAGCCAUGCCGCGUGUAGGAUGAAGGCCUUCGGGUUGUAAACUGCUUUUGUACGGAACGAAAAGGACUGCCCUAAUACGGUGGUCCCAUGACGGUACCGUAAGAAUAAGCACCGGCUAACUACGUGCCAGCAGCCGCUGUAA